Molecule: long non-coding RNA, 1194 nt
Filed under: Panthera leo (lion)
Lineage: Eukaryota; Metazoa; Chordata; Mammalia; Carnivora; Felidae
Description: lncRNA (ENSPLOG00000011533.1)
Source: RNAcentral
AAAGAGAAUAGAGAAACGGAUGACCCAUCCAGCACCGUGGCAAAUUCAGAUGGCCCCAAAAGAGUGGAGAGGAGUAUGAGAAAAGGGAAAUCCAGACUCGACAGGCUUCAGACACCAUCUAUGCUUCCAUCUCAGUUGGCUUCUCAUCAUGAUCACGAGAUCAAUGCUUCUAUUACAACAGUCACAUGAAAGAAAAUCCAAUGUAAGAAGAGGCACUAUUCUUCUGAUUUAGUCAGAGGGGAAAUGCCACCUGAGGUCUGAGCGCACAUGUGACAGAAAUCCUGGGAGAGAAGCACCGUCGUGAACUUGUUCUUGAAGGAAGUGAGGGGUCUGCAUAGGCCGAGAAAUUGGGAUUCGUGGCAGCAGGAGUGGCCGUGAUCUAGGGAUGAGUGCCAGCGAGCAAGAAAGAGGCAGAGCUGACCGGACUCCGCAAGAGGAGGGUUGUAUUUAGGAUCCAUGACAAAUAAGUACUUAAACGUAAGAAUGAGAAAUUGGGGGCUGGUCACAUAAUCUUGGAAUAAUUGGGAGAAGAUGCAUUUAUCUUUCUCCCAUACUCAGGAGUUGAGUGGCCUGGAUUUGUUUCAGGGGCUGUAACAAUUCAUUUUAGAUCGGCCGGGCCAUGGCACCCAGUCGUUUGGUCCAGCACCAGUUUAGAGGUGGUUUGUUCCGUGAGACUAGCAUUUAAGUCAGCAGAGUUUUGAGUAACGCAGGUGCCCUCCGUAAUGUUUGGGUCUCAUCCAAUCAGAUGGGGGCCUUAAGAGAGACUGGCUGAGGUUCCCCAGAUUCUACCUCCAGGCUGCCUUUGCAUCGACUGCAGCAUCAGGUCUUCCCGGGGUCCAGCCUGUUGGCCUGCCUGCAGCUUUUGGACUUGCCAGCCUCCAUGAGCCAUUUCCUGAAAGUAAAUCUCUCUGUGUAUUUAUUUAGGCUGCUGUUCUGCUUCUUUGGAGAACCGCUCUGGCCAAUACAAUGGCUAAUAGUCCAGUGCCAGCUCUGAAUUCCUCUUGCCUCCUUCUUGCCCGCAACCCAAAUCGGCUUCCAGCUAAUUCUUAAUGUGUGGAAAAAUAGGCAAUUUAUGUUAAGGUGUUGUUGACGUGAAGUGGAUAGGGCAUUGUAGUGCCUCUUAAACAACGAUAAUGCCUUCAGGCCAAAAGAGAGGAGUGCUAAAAGGUUAGCGGAUUGUACCAUACAUAUGCA